UGCAUGCCAAGUGUUCUUGAUCUCGGAUCCGUCUAAUGCCUUCAGUCGGUAAGUUUCUGGCUUUGGUACUUCGAUUACUUCAUAGGGUCCUUCCCAGUUCGGCAUCAGCUUUCCCAUGUUCUGUGGCAUAGAUGCUUCGACUUCUCUGAGGAUGAAGUCUCCCACUUCAAAUCUACGAAGUUUUACCCUUUGUUGUAAUGUUUGGCAACUCUCCGCUGGUAGGCUGCUAACUUGAUCAAAGCCACCUCUCUGACUUCUUCCAAAAGAUCCAAGUUGGCCUUCAGUUCGUCAUCAUUAUAGAUCUCUCUGAAUUGACUAACCCAAAGACUUGGAGACCCAAUCUCGAC
Molecule: long non-coding RNA, 347 nt
Filed under: Panax ginseng (ginseng)
Lineage: Eukaryota; Viridiplantae; Streptophyta; Magnoliopsida; Apiales; Araliaceae
Description: long non-coding RNA (PGIN_LNC007520)
Source: RNAcentral